UACGUAGGGACCAAGCGUUGUCCGGAUUUAUUGGGCGUAAAGAGCUCGUAGGCGGCUCUCCACGUCGGAUGUGAAAGCUCAGGGCUCAACCCUGGGACGCCAUUCGAUACGGGAAGGCUAGAGGUAGGUAGGGGAAAGUGGAAUUCCUGGUGUAGCGGUGAAAUGCGCAGAUAUCAGGAGGAACACCAAUUGCGAAGGCAGCUCGCUGGGACGUAACUGACGCUGAGACGCGAAAGCGUGGGGAGCAAACAGG
This 253-nucleotide ribosomal RNA is filed under the name uncultured bacterium. RNAcentral's name for it is "partial 16S ribosomal RNA". It matches the Rfam family "Bacterial small subunit ribosomal RNA", at positions 524 to 776 of the family's 1533-position model. The record is from RNAcentral.